This 433-nucleotide ribosomal RNA is filed under the name uncultured bacterium. RNAcentral's name for it is "partial 16S ribosomal RNA". It matches the Rfam family "Bacterial small subunit ribosomal RNA", at positions 29 to 507 of the family's 1533-position model. The record is from RNAcentral.
AACGAACGCUGGCGGCAUGCCUAACACAUGCAAGUCGAACGAGACCUUCGGGUCUAGUGGCGCACGGGUGCGUAACGCGUGGGAACCUGCCCUUAGGUUCGGAAUAACUCCCCGAAAGGGGUGCUAAUACCGGAUAAUGUCUUCGGACCAAAGAUUUAUCGCCUUUGGAUGGGCCCGCGUUGGAUUAGCUAGUUGGUAGGGUAAAAGCCUACCAAGGCGACGAUCCAUAGCUGGUCUGAGAGGAUGAUCAGCCACACUGGGACUGAGACACGGCCCAGACUCCUACGGGAGGCAGCAGUGGGGAAUAUUGGACAAUGGGCGAAAGCCUGAUCCAGCAAUGCCGCGUGAGUGAUGAAGGCCUUAGGGUUGUAAAGCUCUUUUACCUGGGAUGAUAAUGACAGUACCGGGAGAAUAAGCACCGGCUAACUCCGUG